UUGUGGUUAAAAAGCUCGUAGUUGGAUCUCGGCGGACUGAGGGCGGUUUGCUUGCUAGUAUUACUGCCCUAUAGUCCGUAGUUUUGCCAGAGGUUUCAGGGUGCUCUUAAUCGAGUGUCCCGGGAUGCUGGCAGGUUUACUUUGAAAAAAUUAGAGUGCUCAAAGUAGGCUAUUACGCCUGAAUAUUCGUGCAUGGAAUAAUAGAAUAGGAAGUCGUUUCUAUUUUGUUGGUUUUCGGAAAUCGACUUAAUGAUUAAUAGGGACAGUCGGGGGCAUUUGUAUUCAAACGACAGAGGUGAAAUUCUUGGGCCGUUUGAAGACAAACUACUGCGAGAGCAUUUGCCAAGAAUGUUUUCAUUAAUCAAGAACGAAAGUUAAAGGUUCGAAGGCGAUUAGAUACCGCCCUAGUUUUAACCAUAAACGAUGCCAGCUAGCGAUCUGCGGACGUUUUUUUUGUAGACUCCGCAGGAAGCUUCCGGGAAACCAAAGCAUUUGGGUUCCAGGGGAAGUAUGGUUGCAAAGCUGAAACUUAAAGGAAUUGACGGAAGGGCACCACCAGGAGUGGAGCCUGUGGCUUAAUUUGACUCAACACGGGAAAUCUCACCAGGCCCGGACACUGGAAGGAUUGACAGAU
This 634-nucleotide ribosomal RNA is filed under the name uncultured marine eukaryote. Its description in RNAcentral is "SSU rRNA". It matches the Rfam family "Eukaryotic small subunit ribosomal RNA", at positions 613 to 1248 of the family's 1831-position model. The record is from RNAcentral.